RNAcentral lists this transfer RNA (77 nucleotides) under Heyndrickxia coagulans. Its description in RNAcentral is "tRNA-Pro (AGG) (tRNA-Pro-AGG-1-1)". It matches the Rfam family "tRNA". Rfam says of the family: Transfer RNA (tRNA) molecules are approximately 80 nucleotides in length. The record is from RNAcentral. RNAcentral also lists the same sequence under 14 other names. Lineage: Bacteria; Bacillati; Bacillota; Bacilli; Caryophanales; Bacillaceae.
CGGGAAGUAGCUCAGCUUGGCAGAGCACAUGGUUAGGGACCAUGGGGUCGCAGGUUCAAAUCCUGUCUUCCCGACCA